GGGUUGUGAGGUUAAGCGACUAAGCGUACACGGUGGAUGCCCUGGCAGUCAGAGGCGAUGAAGGGCGUGCUAAUCUGCGAUAAGCGCCGGUAAGGUGAUAUGAACCGUUAUAACCGGCGAUACCCGAAUGGGGAAACCCAGUGUGAUUCGUCACACUAUCAUUAACUGAAUCCAUAGGUUAAUGAGGCGAACCGGGGGAACUGAAACAUCUAAGUAAGGAAAAGCAACCGAGAUUGGCGGCGAGCGGGGAGCCUGAAUCAGUGUGUUUGGCGUCGUGCCGAUAGGGUGACGCACCGCAUUGUGAGCUCGAUGUAGGGACGUGGUAUCCUGUCUGAAUAUGGGGCAUCCGCUAAAUACUGUCCGAUAGUACCUCGUGGGAAAGGGAAGCGAGGGGAGUGAACCUGAAACCGUGUACGUACAAGCUGGGAGCAGGGUGGCGUACCUUUUGUAUCAGCGACUUAUAUUCUGUAGCAAGGUUAACCGUAUAGGGGAGCCGUAGGGAAACCGAGUCUUAACCGGGCGUUAAGUUGCAGGGUAUAGACCCGAAACCCGGUGAUCUAGCCAUGGGCAGGUUGAAGGUUGGGUAACACUAACUGGAGGACCGAACCGACUAAUGUUGAAAAAUUAGCGGAUGACCUGUGGCUGGGGGUGAAAGGCCAAUCAAACCGGGAGAUAGCUGGUUCUCCCCGAAAGCUAUUUAGGUAGCGCCUCGUGAAUUCAUCUCCGGGGGUAGAGCACUGUUUCGGCUAGGGGGCCAUCCCGGCUUACCAACCCGAUGCAAACUGCGAAUACCGGAGAAUGUUAUCACGGGAGACACACGGCGGGUGCUAACGUCCGUCGUGAAGAGGGAAACAACCCAGACCGCCAGCUAAGGUCCCAAAGUCAUGGUUAAGUGGGAAACGAUGUGGGAAGGCCCAGACAGCCAGGAUGUUGGCUUAGAAGCAGCCAUCAUUUAAAGAAAGCGUAAUAGCUCACUGGUCGAGUCGGCCUGCGCGGAAGAUGUAACGGGGCUAAACCAUGCACCGAAGCUGCGGCAGCGAACGUAUCACCCAAGACAACUUUACGGAGUUGACGAUUGACGGAGCGAAGCGACGUCAAAGCGUUCAUUAAAGUCGAGUUGGCUUAGGGAUACGUUCGUUGGGUAGGGGAGCGUUCUGUAAGCCUGUGAAGGUGUGUCGUGAGGCAUGCUGGAGGUAUCAGAAGUGCGAAUGCUGACAUAAGUAACGAUAAAGCGGGUGAAAAGCCCGCUCGCCGGAAGACCAAGGGUUCCUGUCCAACGUUAAUCGGGGCAGGGUGAGUCGACCCCUAAGGCGAGGCCGAAAGGCGUAGUCGAUGGGAAACGGGUUAAUAUUCCCGUACUUGGUGUUACUGCGAAGGGGGGACGGAGAAGGCUAUGUUGGCCGGGCGACGGUUGUCCCGGUUUAAGCGUGUAGGUGUGUGUUCCAGGUAAAUCCGGUUCACUUUAACACUGAGGCGUGACGACGAGGCACUACGGUGCUGAAGCAACAAAUGCCCUGCUUCCAGGAAAAGCCUCUAAGCAUCAGGUAACACGAAAUCGUACCCCAAACCGACACAGGUGGUCAGGUAGAGAAUACCAAGGCGCUUGAGAGAACUCGGGUGAAGGAACUAGGCAAAAUGGUGCCGUAACUUCGGGAGAAGGCACGCUGACACGUAGGUGAAGUGAUUUACUCAUGGAGCUGAAGUCAGUCGAAGAUACCAGCUGGCUGCAACUGUUUAUUAAAAACACAGCACUGUGCAAACACGAAAGUGGACGUAUACGGUGUGACGCCUGCCCGGUGCCGGAAGGUUAAUUGAUGGGGUCAGCGCAAGCGAAGCUCCUGAUCGAAGCCCCGGUAAACGGCGGCCGUAACUAUAACGGUCCUAAGGUAGCGAAAUUCCUUGUCGGGUAAGUUCCGACCUGCACGAAUGGCGUAAUGAUGGCCAGGCUGUCUCCACCCGAGACUCAGUGAAAUUGAACUCGCUGUGAAGAUGCAGUGUACCCGCGGCAAGACGGAAAGACCCCGUGAACCUUUACUAUAGCUUGACACUGAACAUUGAGCCUUGAUGUGUAGGAUAGGUGGGAGGCUUUGAAGUGUGGACGCCAGUCUGCAUGGAGCCGACCUUGAAAUACCACCCUUUAAUGUUUGAUGUUCUAACGUGGACCCGUAAUCCGGGUUGCGGACAGUGUCUGGUGGGUAGUUUGACUGGGGCGGUCUCCUCCUAAAGAGUAACGGAGGAGCACGAAGGUUGGCUAAUCCUGGUCGGACAUCAGGAGGUUAGUGCAAUGGCAUAAGCCAGCUUGACUGCGAGCGUGACGGCGCGAGCAGGUGCGAAAGCAGGUCAUAGUGAUCCGGUGGUUCUGAAUGGAAGGGCCAUCGCUCAACGGAUAAAAGGUACUCCGGGGAUAACAGGCUGAUACCGCCCAAGAGUUCAUAUCGACGGCGGUGUUUGGCACCUCGAUGUCGGCUCAUCACAUCCUGGGGCUGAAGUAGGUCCCAAGGGUAUGGCUGUUCGCCAUUUAAAGUGGUACGCGAGCUGGGUUUAGAACGUCGUGAGACAGUUCGGUCCCUAUCUGCCGUGGGCGCUGGAGAACUGAGGGGGGCUGCUCCUAGUACGAGAGGACCGGAGUGGACGCAUCACUGGUGUUCGGGUUGUCAUGCCAAUGGCACUGCCCGGUAGCUAAAUGCGGAAGAGAUAAGUGCUGAAAGCAUCUAAGCACGAAACUUGCCCCGAGAUGAGUUCUCCCUGAGACUUAGAGUCUCCUGAAGGAACGUUGAAGACGACGACGUUGAUAGGCCGGGUGUGUAAGCGCAGCGAUGCGUUGAGCUAACCGGUACUAAUGAACCGUGAGGCUUAACCUUACAACGCCGAAG
RNAcentral lists this ribosomal RNA (2873 nucleotides) under Salmonella enterica subsp. enterica serovar Typhimurium. Its description in RNAcentral is "bacterial LSU rRNA". It matches the Rfam family "Bacterial large subunit ribosomal RNA". The record is from RNAcentral. Lineage: Bacteria; Pseudomonadati; Pseudomonadota; Gammaproteobacteria; Enterobacterales; Enterobacteriaceae.